CCUACGGGGGGCAGCAGUGGGGAAUAUUGGACAAUGGGGGGAACCCUGAUCCAGCCAUGCCGCGUGUGUGAAGAAGGCCCUCGGGUUGUAAAGCACUUUCAGUGAGGAAGAACGCCUGGUGGUUAAUACCCAUCAGGAAAGACAUCACUCACAGAAGAAGCACCGGCUAACUCCGUGCCAGCAGCCGCGGUAAUACGGAGGGUGCGAGAGUUAAUCGGAAUUACUGGGCGUAAAGCGCGCGUAGGUGGCUUGAUAAGCCGGUUGUGAAAGCCCCGGGCUCAACCUGGGAACGGCAUCCGGAACUGUCAAGCUAGAGUGCAGGAGAGGAAGGUAGAAUUCCCGGUGUAGCGGUGAAAUGCGUAGAGAUCGGGAGGAAUACCAGUGGCGAAGGCGGCCUUCUGGACUGACACUGACACUGAGGUGCGAAAGCGUGGGUAGCAAACAGGAUUAGAUACCCGUGUAGUC
This 465-nucleotide ribosomal RNA is filed under the name Vreelandella stevensii. RNAcentral's name for it is "partial 16S ribosomal RNA". It matches the Rfam family "Bacterial small subunit ribosomal RNA", at positions 338 to 795 of the family's 1533-position model. Lineage: Bacteria; Pseudomonadati; Pseudomonadota; Gammaproteobacteria; Oceanospirillales; Halomonadaceae. The record is from RNAcentral.